Molecule: ribosomal RNA, 253 nt
Filed under: uncultured bacterium
Lineage: Bacteria
Description: partial 16S ribosomal RNA
Rfam family: Bacterial small subunit ribosomal RNA
Source: RNAcentral
UACGGGGGGAGCAAGCGUUGUUCGGAUUUACUGGGCGUAAAGGGCGCGUAGGCGGCACCGCAAGUCAGUUGUGAAAUCUCUGGGCUUAACCCAGAAAGGUCAACUGAUACUGCGGGGCUAGAGUGCAGAAGGGGCAACUGGAAUUCUCGGUGUAGCGGUGAAAUGCGUAGAUAUCGAGAGGAACACCUGCGGCGAAGGCGGGUUGCUGGGCUGACACUGACGCUGAUGCGCGAAAGCUAGGGGAGCGAACGGG